This 630-nucleotide ribosomal RNA is filed under the name Pentatrichomonas hominis. Its description in RNAcentral is "SSU rRNA". It matches the Rfam family "Eukaryotic small subunit ribosomal RNA", at positions 298 to 1048 of the family's 1831-position model. The record is from RNAcentral. Lineage: Eukaryota; Parabasalia; Trichomonadida; Trichomonadidae.
UUCGACUGAGUGACCUAUCAGCUUGUACUUAGGGUCUUUACCUAGGUAGGCUAUCACGGGUAACGGGCGGUUACCGUCGGACUGCCGGAGAAGGCGCCUGAGAGAUAGCGACUAUAUCCACGGGUAGCAGCAGGCGCGAAACUUUCCCACUCGAGACUUUCGGAGGAGGUAAUGACCAGUUUCAUGUGAAGCUUAUGCUUCUGUGAAUAGGAUCACACUUUUCCAGUGUGGUGAAACCUAGCAGAGGGCCAGUCUGGUGCCAGCAGCUGCGGUAAUUCCAGCUCUGCGAGUUUGCUCCCAUAUUGUUGCAGUUAAAACGCCCGUAGUCGGAAUUGGACAGCAAUGUCCCUACGUUUCAACGUUCACUGUGAACAAAUCAGGACGCUUAGAGUAUGGUAACAAGAAUGACUCAGCGCAGUAUGAAGUCUUUGUUUCUUUCGGGAAACAAGCUCAAUGAGAGCCAUCGGGGGUGGAUCUAUUUCAUGGCGAGUGGUGGAAUACUUUGACCCAUGAGAGAGACACGGAGGCGAAGGCGUCCACCUAGAGGGUUUCUGUCGAUCAAGGGCGAGAGUAGGAGUAUCCAACCGGACUAGAGACCCGGGUAGUUCCUACUGUAAACGAUGCCGACAG